RNAcentral lists this ribosomal RNA (497 nucleotides) under uncultured bacterium. RNAcentral describes it as "partial 16S ribosomal RNA". It matches the Rfam family "Bacterial small subunit ribosomal RNA", at positions 28 to 507 of the family's 1533-position model. The record is from RNAcentral.
GACGAACGCUGGCGGCGUGCCUAAUACAUGCAAGUAGAACGCUGAAGCUUGGUGCUUGCACCGAGCGGAUGAGUUGCGAACGGGUGAGUAACGCGUAGGUAACCUGCCUGGUAGCGGGGGAUAACUAGUGGAAACGAUAGCUAAUACCGCAUAAUAGUAGAUGUUGCAUUACAUUUGCUUAAAAUGUGCAAUUGCAUCACUACCAGAUGGAUCUGCGUUGUAUUAGCUAGUUGGUGAGGUAACGGCUCACCAAGGCAACGAUACAUAGCCAACCUGAGAGGGUGAUUGGCCAACCUGGGACUGAGACACGGCACAGACGCCUACGGGGAGCAGCAGUAGGGAAACUUCGGCAAUGGGUGGAAGACUGAGCACGAUACGCGGAAGGAGGGAAGAAGGUUUUCGGGUCGUAAAGCUCUGUUGUAAGGGAAGAAAGAGUGUGAGAGUGGAAAGUUCACACUGUGACGGUAUCUUACCAGAAAGGGACGGCUAACUACGUG